GCGGGUGUAGCUCAGUUGGUUAGAGCGCCUGAUUGUGGUUCAGGAGGCCGUGGGUUCAAUCCCCAUCACUCGCCCCA
RNAcentral lists this transfer RNA (77 nucleotides) under Rhodospirillaceae bacterium. RNAcentral's name for it is "tRNA-His". It matches the Rfam family "tRNA". Rfam says of the family: Transfer RNA (tRNA) molecules are approximately 80 nucleotides in length. Their secondary structure includes four short double-helical elements and three loops (D, anti-codon, and T loops). Further hydrogen bonds mediate the characteristic L-shaped molecular structure. tRNAs have two regions of fundamental functional importance: the anti-codon, which is responsible for specific mRNA codon recognition, and the 3' end, to which the tRNAs corresponding amino acid is attached (by aminoacyl-tRNA synthetases). tRNAs cope with the degeneracy of the genetic code in two manners: having more than one tRNA (with a specific anti-codon) for a particular amino acid; and 'wobble' base-pairing, i.e. permitting non-standard base-pairing at the 3rd anti-codon position. RNAcentral also lists the same sequence under 1 other name. Lineage: Bacteria; Pseudomonadati; Pseudomonadota; Alphaproteobacteria; Rhodospirillales; Rhodospirillaceae. The record is from RNAcentral.